This is a long non-coding RNA of Drosophila mojavensis, 1962 nucleotides long. RefSeq lists it as uncharacterized. The record is from RefSeq and is a predicted model, not a curated record. Lineage: Eukaryota; Metazoa; Arthropoda; Insecta; Diptera; Drosophilidae. The transcript has 2 exons.
AAAUGCGAGAGCUUCUGGACGCACUGAGGGUAGGGGGAUAUCUACACAUACAUAUAUACAUGUGUGUAUAUUUGUUUGUGUGCAUGUGUGUGUGCGGCAUUAUCAGCGUGUUUAUAUUAAGUGUGACACUCGUUUAUGGGUGUUUUCGAGUGCGAUGCAUUAAAUGCAAGCGAUUAUCUUUUAACACCCGAAGCUAAUCUCAACUGCAGGGGGGUAUAUAUCAACUGAGAAUGAGAGAGAGGGUGAGAAAGAGGGAGAGCAUUUGACUGAUAGUUCCAUUGGAUUUUAGCUCACUCGUAAACCACUCAAGCAACUCAAGCAAAAGCUUUCAAUCUCACCAAAAAUUGUUCAACUUUCGAAAAACUACGUUUUCAGCUUCAAUUUAAGCUUUAAACUCCUUUAGAGAUUUAAGUAAUUCGAAUUAUACUUGAACGAAGUGAUGACAGCAUAAGUUAUCAUGAUUGAGAUUCCGAAUCAGAUGAGUUAUGUGGCCCAAGACCAAAUUCAGUUUCAUCGCUUUCGCUUACAUAGACGAUGGGGGGAUUUCCAUUUAGCAGACGAAUACCCAGUCACUCAGGCAGCCAUUGCAAAUCUAUUGAUAUUUCAAUAGGUAGUUGCUUUCUCAUUGACAAUCCAAUCAUAAUUGCUCCAAAUAUUUUUGAAUUGGAAGAAGUAACGAUGAAAAUGUAUAGAUAGCUCUUCUACAAUGGAAAUCGACAUCAAAAGAUCAGAGCUUAAGUCAACAAACUGAUUCUAGACCCAUGUUAAGACUUGAUUGGCCAUUGUCUUCAAUUUUCCAAGUCAAAAUCUACAAACUUAAUAUGCUAAAUUUUCGAAGAACUUAUCAGUAUCUACAUGUACAUAUCUGUACCCAAGUUCAUGUUUUAACAUUUCUUUAAUUUAUUUACAACGUAAACACUAUUGCAAUUUGCAAAUGUUAUUCGAAACCUAUAACGAACAAUUGACCCAUUUGAGUUAAUGGUCUCAGCAAAGACAGAGAAACAAAGAAGAGGUGCGAGCGAGGAGUGAGACAGGGCGAGAGGGAAAGAAAGAGGUACUACCCCUUGAACGGGCAUUGCAUGAUGCCUUUGAUAAAAAUAUAACAACAAUAAAACAAGUAGAAGUACUUCAAUCAAGAGGGCACGACUGAAAGAUACCCUGCACGUAAAACAAAAAUCUGAAAAACUUUUUUUGUUUAACUAUAAACUGUAAACUGCAAACCGUAAACUGUACUCCCACCCUAAAAUAGUUCACAGAAGAAAUCUUAUAGGACUCGAGAACAUAUAAAAAUCAUAUUCAUCAGAUCGCUUUAAUAUUGAAAUAAUCUCUCACAUCGGUUAUAAUCUUCGUAUUCACGAAGAGAGAUUAAAAGGACAAGUACAUAUUAUAAAAGAUUAUGAAUCGAUAGGAAUGGAAAAGUAGGCAAAUAUCAUUGUACACAAGGCUUUAUCAAUGAGAAUUCUGCUUAAGAAUCUAAUAUAAUACGAUUAACCAAUGAUCAAUAUGCCCUACAUAUUUUCUAUGAGUCCAGGGUACAUUAAAAAAAAAAAAAAAUUGCUGGAAAUUCAAUCAACGCGAAUGCACUCGAAAAAUGUAUUCACAAAAACGAAUCGCCCACAUGGAAAUGAUACUCAACAUAUAUUAUCAACAUAUGUAUAUACAUAUAUACAUAGUUGUACACUCAGAAUGCAAUGGACAGUAAGUGGAAUUGGAAGAGCAAGACCAACAGCAACAGUAACAGUAACAACAACAACAAAGGCAACAAAUUGCACGCAUCUUUCAAUUGAGGAGGUUAGGUCUUCCCCUUAGGGGUAACUGGGGGCACAAUCAUAUUUAUAUAUAUUGUAGUUAUACUAUAUAUUUAGUCGUUGUGCGUUACAAACCCAACUGCACUUUUGCAAUUGAACAAUGUGUGUACUGAAAUCAAAUUCCACGCACUUAAAUGAACAGCAUAACUGUAAA